CUUAAAGAAAGAAACAAGUUCUUGGCAAGAGAAGCAUCCUCCUUGAAGUAUUUGGCUGAGGAGUUUUCAAUCCCAGUUAUCUUGACGAAUCAGGUUACAACCCAUCUGAGUGGAGCCCUGGCUUCUCAGGCAGACCUGGUGUCUCCAGCUGAUGAUUUGUCCCUGUCUGAAGGCACUUCUGGAUCCAGCUGUGUGAUAGCCGCACUAGGAAAUACCUGGAGUCACAGUGUGAAUACCCGGCUGAUUCUCCAGUACCUUGAUUCAGAGAGAAGACAGAUUCUUAUUGCCAAGUCCCCUCUGGCUCCCUUCACCUCAUUUGUCUACACCAUCGAGGAGGAAGGCCUGGUUCUUCAAGCCUAUGGAAAUUCCUAGAGACAGAGAAAUGUGCAAACCUGUUCAUCUUGCCAAGAAAAAUCCGCUUUUCUGCCACAGAAACAAAAUAUUGGGAAAGAGUCUUGUGGUGAAACACCCAUUGUUCUCUGCUAAAACGUUUGUUUGCUACUGUGUAGACUCAGCUUUAGUCAUGGAAUUCUAGAGGAUGUAUCUCACAAGUGGGAUCAAGAACAAGCCCGACAGUAAUCUGCACCAUAAGUUGAUUUGAUACCAUGGCACUGACAAUGGGCACACAGGGAACGGGAAGUGGGAAUGAGAGCAAGGGUUGGGUUGUGUUCGUGGAACACACAGGUAUUUUUUUUUUUUUACUUUCUCUUUCUAAAAUAUUUCAUUUUUAUGGAGGUGAAAUUUAUAUAAGAUGAAAUUAACCA
Molecule: small RNA, 764 nt
Filed under: Pongo abelii (Sumatran orangutan)
Lineage: Eukaryota; Metazoa; Chordata; Mammalia; Primates; Hominidae
Description: processed transcript
Source: RNAcentral